RNAcentral lists this ribosomal RNA (403 nucleotides) under bacterium. RNAcentral's name for it is "partial 16S ribosomal RNA". It matches the Rfam family "Bacterial small subunit ribosomal RNA", at positions 355 to 776 of the family's 1533-position model. The record is from RNAcentral.
UGGGGAAUAUUGCACAAUGGGGGAAACCCUGAUGCAGCGACGCCGCGUGAACGAAGAAGGUAUUCGUAUCGUAAAGUUCUGUCCUAUGGGAAGAUAAUGACAGUACCAUAGAAGAAAGCUCCGGCUAAAUACGUGCCAGCAGCCGCGGUAAUACGUAUGGAGCGAGCGUUGUCCGGAAUUAUUGGGCGUAAAGGGUACGCAGGCGGUUUAAUAAGUCGAAUGUUAAAGAUCGGGGCUCAACCCCGCAAAGCAUUGGAAACUGAUAAACUUGAGUAGUGGAGAGGAAAGUGGAAGUCCUAGUGUAGUGGUGAAAUACGUAGAUAAUAGGAAGAAUACCAGUAGCGAAGGCGACUUUCUGGACACAAACUGACGCUGAGGUACGAAAGCGUGGGGAGCAAACAGG